Molecule: ribosomal RNA, 231 nt
Filed under: Triticum aestivum (bread wheat)
Lineage: Eukaryota; Viridiplantae; Streptophyta; Magnoliopsida; Poales; Poaceae
Description: partial small subunit ribosomal RNA
Source: RNAcentral
AUGCAAUUUAACUCUCAUACUGAAGAGUUCAGCCUGUUUUCUUUGCAUAUGGCUGGCAUAGAUGUAGUAGGAAGGGACCACUACUAUGGUGUGUUUCCUCUCAAGGGUAAAGUAUUAAAUGUGAGAGAAGCAAGACAUAAGCGCCUAUAUAUUUCCUCAUGUAUGCUUCUAGGUAUCAAUAAUAACGACGACGAUAACAGUGUUUCAGUUCAAGUGCAUUCUUGCUUUUGA